Molecule: transfer RNA, 66 nt
Filed under: Sphaeronemoura grandicauda
Lineage: Eukaryota; Metazoa; Arthropoda; Insecta; Plecoptera; Nemouridae
Also listed under: 1 other name
Description: tRNA-Leu
Source: RNAcentral
UCUAUUUUGGCAGAUAAGUGCAAUGAAUUUAGAAUUCAUUUAUGUAAAUCAAUUUUACAGAUAGAA